CCCUUAGAUGUUCUGGGCCGCACACGCGCUACACUGAAGGAGGCAGCGUGUACUCCUGGAUCGAAAGAUUUGGGUAACCCGCGAAUCUCCUUCGUGCUAGGGAUUGAAGUUUGCAAUUAUCCUUCAUGAACGAGGAAUUCCCAGUAAGUGCAAGUCAUAAGCUUGCGCUGACUACGUCCCUGCCCUUUGUACACACCGCCCGUCGCUACUACCGAUUGAAUGAUUUAGUGAGGACUUCGGACUGGGACCGAUGCGGCUUUCGGGCUGCGUCGGUAUUCUGGAAAGAUGUCCAAACUGUAUCAUUUAGAGGAAGUAAAAGUCGUAACA
RNAcentral lists this ribosomal RNA (327 nucleotides) under uncultured eukaryote. RNAcentral describes it as "partial 18S ribosomal RNA". It matches the Rfam family "Eukaryotic small subunit ribosomal RNA", at positions 1470 to 1796 of the family's 1831-position model. The record is from RNAcentral.